AUUUGCACACGGACCCAUGAUGGCCCCGAUUUUUUGUACAAGGGAGGUUAAGGCGCCCAUCAGCCCGCUGAGGCAGGUCUGGCCAGCUCUAGGACCGCGCACCGAAAAGUUAACUCGCUGGUCUUGCGUUAGCCGCUUGAAAGGAAUGCCUAGCAGCCUAUCCCAGGAACUGGAAGAGAGCAAUGAUUAAAAGGGAAGGCUUGGGCAGACUCCCACAAUAGGCAAGCUCUGGAAGAAGCACGGAAAUCUCUCAUGAAGACAUGUGAACAAGACUUCCUCCCUUUAAGACACAUGGUGCUUUAGUAAAAGAAAAAAAAAUGCACUGAUUUAAAUGUCAAACACACAAAGGAGUUUGUAUGAAUCCUUAUAUGAAGGAAACUGAAUCUUCAGGAGACAGGAAAACACCAAAAUCCAUUAGAUUUUCCCCCAGGCGGAUCAGAGCUGGAGUUUGAAUUGUCGUCUUCUUAGUGGGUUUGUUUAUAUUCAGUCACCUGCUUUAUAGAGCAAGAAAUCUUCUUUCCCUUGCCACCUAAUUUCUAGCAAAACACAUGGUUUGUUAGAGAUCUAAUAUCAUUGAGAGAGCACAAAACCACAGGACAACUGGGAAUGUGAAAGGAUAUUUAAGUAUUUAUUUACAAGUAAUUAUAACACACAAGAUAACCUGCUAAAAUGAGUUCUUGAUAUCUAUUUAAAAAUUUAGUAGUAAUUCAUUGUGGUUGAAAAACAAAAGCAAACAAGAAAAGAAAAAAAACAAAACAAAAACCCUUGAAUUAGAACCACAAAUGCACAAAGCAGCCAAGCUUUAUGCCCAGUGACCUAGGCCUGGGGCCUGAGUUACUGUUGACAGCAAAUGUUCAUAUCCUUAUUCCUGUAAAGAGCCUGUGAACUUCAAACUCUGCUUAAGGUUAGCUACACCAUAGAGCCAGGUUUGAGCUAAACGGGUGAGGUCUGUUCCACUUGUCAGCAGGGGAGAGUCCAUGGGCUGAUGAUGACAUAAAUCACAUUAAAUGGGUGCUCUGCUCAGGUGCAGUAGUGGACAAUUAGUGUUAGUUAACCUGAUGUAGUUAAAAAAAAAAAAAAGCAAGGAUGGAAGGCCAGCUGUAGCUGUGAGGAUUCUAGUAUCACAGAACUGAUUUUUCUCCCUGCAGACAGAUACUGG
This 1159-nucleotide long non-coding RNA is filed under the name Cricetulus griseus (Chinese hamster). RNAcentral describes it as "lncRNA (ENSCGRG00015033434.1)". The record is from RNAcentral. Lineage: Eukaryota; Metazoa; Chordata; Mammalia; Rodentia; Cricetidae.